RNAcentral lists this ribosomal RNA (245 nucleotides) under uncultured bacterium. RNAcentral's name for it is "partial 16S ribosomal RNA". It matches the Rfam family "Bacterial small subunit ribosomal RNA", at positions 524 to 767 of the family's 1533-position model. The record is from RNAcentral.
UACGAAGGGGGCUAGCGUUGUUCGGAUUUACUGGGCGUAAAGCGCACGUAGGCGGAUUGUUAAGUCGGGGGUGAAAUCCUGGAGCUCAACUCCAGAAUUGCCUUCGAUACUGGCUUUCUAGAGGCUGGAAGAGGUUAGUGGAAUUCCCAGUGUAGAGGUGAAAUUCGUAGAUAUUGGGAAGAACACCAGUGGCGAAGGCGGCUAACUGGUCCAGACUCUGACGCUGAGGCACGAAGGCCCAGGGG